Molecule: non-coding RNA, 2175 nt
Organism: Pelobates cultripes (western spadefoot toad)
Lineage: Eukaryota; Metazoa; Chordata; Amphibia; Anura; Pelobatidae
Source: the annotation of a GenBank genome assembly
GGCAGAUUAAAAGAUCACUUACAUUUCUUGUAAAAUAUGUAAUAGUCAUUGAUCUAAAAUUUGUUAUAUUUUUAACAUUUGUUUUUUUUUUUAAACUUCGUUUUAAAUUUAUUUACACAUUUUAGGGUUUUAUUUUUAAUGCAUUUGCAUCCGACACAUUUAUUGCAGGAAUAAAACCUUUAUCUGUUAAAGUUGUGGUUCUUCACAAGGAUAGGUUCACGUAAAAUUACUUUUUAAAUUGUGACCUCUCCUAGUUAUGAAUGGUUUAUCUGGCAGCAGUCUUAAGAGUUCCUCUAUCCAUCUAUCUAUCCUUUGAUCCCCUAUAAAUCAGCAAAAUUUCUGGCCCCCACUCUUAAUGGGAGUGCUCCUAAUCUCUGCCCAUUACGUGUAUAAAAGACACCUGUCCACAGAAGCAAUCAAUCCAAUUCCAAACUCUCCAUCAUGGCCAAGACCAAAGAGCUGUCCAAGGAUGUCAGGUACAAGAUUGUAGACCUAAACAAUGCUGGAAUGGGCUACAGGACAGUUGCCAAGCAGCUUGGUGAGAAGGUGACAAGAGGUGGUGUGAUUAUUCGCAAAUGUAAGAAACACAAAAUAACGGUCAGUCUCCCUCUAUCUGGUGCUUUAUGUAAAAUCUCACGUCGUGGAGUUUCAAUGAUCAUAACGUUGAGGGACCAGCCCAUAACUACACGGGAUUAUCUUGUCAAUGAUCUCAAGGCAGCUGGGACUAUAGUCAGCAAGAAAAGAAUUGGUAAUACACUACGUCGUGAAGGACUUAAAUCCUGAAAAGAAAAUUUUACAUUGAGAGACAGAAUAACAAAACAAAAUCCAGAAAAAUGCAUGUCAAAAAAGUUAUAAAUUGAUUUGCAUAUCAAUGAGCAUAUUGACCCCUUUGACUUAGUACUUGGUGGCAAAACCCUUGUUGACAAUCACAGAGGUCAGGAGGUCAGAUGUUUCAUGUAGUUGGCCACCAGGUUUGCACCCAUCUCAGGAGGGAUUUUGUGCCAGUCCUCUUUGCAGAUCCUCUCCCAAGUCUUUAAGGUUUCGAGACUGUUUGGCAACUCAAACUUUCAGCUCCCUCCACAGAUUUUCUAUGGGAUCAAGGGCUGGAGACUGGCUAGGCCACUCCAGGACCUUAACGUGCUUCUUCUUGAGCCACCAAUUUGUUGCAUUGGCUGUGUGUUUUUGUUAAUUCUCAUGCUGGAAUACCCAUCCAUGAGCCAUUUCCAAUGCCCUGGCUGAGGAAAGGAGGUUCUCAUCAAUGAUUUGACGGUACAUGGCCCUGUCCAUCGUCCCUUUGAUAUGGUGCAUUUGUCCUGUCCCCUUAGCAGAAAAACACCCCCAAUACAUAAUGUUUCCACCUCCAUGUUUGACGGUGGGGAUGGUGUUCUUGGGGUCAUAGGCAGCAUUCCUUCUCCUCCUCCAAACACGGCGAGUUGAAUUGAUGCGAAAGAGCUCUGUUUUGGUCUCAUCUGACCACAACACUUUCACCCAGUUCUCCUCUGAAUCAUUUAGAUAUUCAUUGGCAAACUUCAGACUGAAACGCGCGUCGGGCUGUGGGUGUUUUGUCACGCUUUUCAGACUGCUAUAAAUGUAGCCUGUUAUAUUGCAACACGCUACACCUAUUUAGGGACUCCCCUUCUUUUUGCCGGUUGAGUCUCUAUAUCUUGUACACUAGUUUUGGAGCUGUGAGAACCCUCUAUACCACUUCUUACUUUAUUUUCAUUUAUCUUUUUCUUCCUGUCCUUUCGAUUUACUCAUCUUUUUUGAUAUAUACAGUGCUAUUUUAGCAUGAGCGAAUUUAUCAUUUAGUAGGAUAUACAAGAGGGAAUACUACUCUGUUUGGCCAUAACUCCAUUAAUUUGGAUCAAUCUGGGAUCUUUACAGCUAUUUCUCAUUAUACGAGUAUGAGUAUAUAUGAGUAAAGACUAGUGAUGUGCCGAACGGUUCGCCGCGGACUCAUCAUUGAGUAAACUUUGACCCUGUACCUCACAGUCAGCAGACACAUUCCAGCCAAUCAGCAGCAGACCCUCCCUCCCAGACCCUCCCACCUCCUGGACAGCAUCCAUUUUACAUUCAUUGUGAAGCUGCAUUCUUAGUGAGCUGUCCAGGAGGUGGGAGGGUCUGGGAGGGAGUGUCUGCUGCUGAUUGGCUGGAAUGUGUCUGCUGACUGUGAGG